CAGUGGGGAAUAUUGGACAAUGCGCGAAAGCGUGACGCAGCGACGCCGCGUGGGGGAUGAAGGCCCUCGGGUUGUAAACCCCGUUUCGGCAGGGACGAAGCGAAAGUGACGGUACCUGCAGAAGAAGUCCCGGCUAACUACGUGCCAGCAGCCGCGGUAACACGGUAGGGGACGAGCGUUGUCCGGAUUUAUUGGGCGUAAAGCGCGCGUAGGCGGCUCGGAAAGUCGGUCGUGAAAGGCCGGGGCUCAACCCCGGGGACUGCGUCCGAUACUUCCGGGCUGGAGGUAGGUGGGGGAGAUCGGAAUUCCUGGUGUAGCGGUGAAAUGCGCAGAUAUCAGGAGGAACACCGGUGGCGAAGGCGGAUCUCUGGGCCUUACCUGACGCUGAGGCGCGAAAGCUAGGGGAGCGAACAGGAUUAGAUACCCUGGUAGUCCUAGCCGUAAACGUUGGGUGCUAGGUGUGGGCGGACAUCGACCCCGUCCGUGCCGAAGCUAACGCAUUAAGCACCCCGCCUGGGGAGUACGGCCGCAAGGCUA
RNAcentral lists this ribosomal RNA (537 nucleotides) under uncultured Actinomycetes bacterium. Its description in RNAcentral is "bacterial SSU rRNA". It matches the Rfam family "Bacterial small subunit ribosomal RNA", at positions 352 to 896 of the family's 1533-position model. The record is from RNAcentral. Lineage: Bacteria; Bacillati; Actinomycetota; Actinomycetes.